Long non-coding RNA from Catharus ustulatus (Swainson's thrush), 258 nucleotides. RefSeq lists it as uncharacterized. The transcript has 3 exons. The record is from RefSeq and is a predicted model, not a curated record. NCBI's taxonomy places the organism in Eukaryota, Metazoa, Chordata, Aves, Passeriformes, Turdidae.
GGCGGAGCCAACUACCACUUGUCUUCCACUGCCAUGAUGAGAAUCGGUGUGUGGCAGAGGCCUCUAGGACAACACUGCGCUGUGUGGCCAAGUUCCGAAAUAGGCCGGAACUUGAAAAACCUAUGAAGAAGGAGAAAGUCUGGAAGUUUGCCGAGUGCCUGCUGACAGAGGACGACACCCGAGUCGCCAAUUACCUACGGCAGGCACUGCAGUACCUGCAGAGCCCACAGGAGUCCCUGAGAGCAGCGGCCAUCAGGU